GAGAGUUUGAUCCUGGCUCAGAGUGAACGCUGGCGGUAGGCCUAACACAUGCAAGUCGAACGGCAGCACAGGAGAGCUUGCUCUCUGGGUGGCGAGUGGCGGACGGGUGAGGAAUACAUCGGAAUCUACCUUUUCGUGGGGGAUAACGUAGGGAAACUUACGCUAAUACCGCAUACGACCUUAGGGUGAAAGCGGAGGACCUUCGGGCUUCGCGCGGAUAGAUGAGCCGAUGUCGGAUUAGCUUGUUGGCGGGGUAACGGCCCACCAAGGCGACGAUCCGUAGCUGGUCUGAGAGGAUGAUCAGCCACACUGGAACUGAGACACGGUCCAGACUCCUACGGGAGGCAGCAGUGGGGAAUAUUGGACAAUGGGCGCAAGCCUGAUCCAGCCAUACCGCGUGAGUGAAGAAGGCCCUCGGGUUGUAAAGCUCUUUUGUCCGGAAAGAAAAGCGCUCGGUUAAUACCCAAGCGUCAUGACGGUACCGGAAGAAUAAGCACCGGCUAACUUCGUG
RNAcentral lists this ribosomal RNA (511 nucleotides) under uncultured Lysobacteraceae bacterium. Its description in RNAcentral is "bacterial SSU rRNA". It matches the Rfam family "Bacterial small subunit ribosomal RNA", at positions 7 to 507 of the family's 1533-position model. The record is from RNAcentral. Lineage: Bacteria; Pseudomonadati; Pseudomonadota; Gammaproteobacteria; Lysobacterales; Lysobacteraceae.